RNAcentral lists this ribosomal RNA (1369 nucleotides) under uncultured bacterium. Its description in RNAcentral is "bacterial SSU rRNA". It matches the Rfam family "Bacterial small subunit ribosomal RNA", at positions 28 to 1381 of the family's 1533-position model. The record is from RNAcentral.
GACGAACGCUGGCGGCGUGCCUAAUACAUGCAAGUAGAACGCUGAAGAGAGGAGCUUGCUCUUCUUGGAUGAGUUGCGAACGGGAGAGUAACGCGUAGGUAACCUGCCUUGUAGCGGGGGAUAACUAUUGGAAACGAUAGCUAAUACCGCAUAACAAUGGAUGACACAUGUCAUUUAUUUGAAAGGGGCAAUUGCUCCACUACAAGAUGGACCUGCGUUGUAUUAGCUAGUAGGUGAGGUAACGGCUCACCUAGGCGACGAUACAUAGCCGACCUGAGAGGGUGAUCGGCCACACUGGGACUGAGACACGGCCCAGACUCCUACGGGAGGCAGCAGUAGGGAAUCUUCGGCAAUGGGGGCAACCCUGACCGAGCAACGCCGCGUGAGUGAAGAAGGUUUUCGGAUCGUAAAGCUCUGUUGUAAGUCAAGAACGAGUGUGAGAGUGGAAAGUUCACACUGUGACGGUAGCUUACCAGAAAGGGACGGCUAACUACGUGCCAGCAGCCGCGGUAAUACGUAGGUCCCGAGCGUUGUCCGGAUUUAUUGGGCGUAAAGCGAGCGCAGGCGGUUUGAUAAGUCUGAAGUUAAAGGCUGUGGCUCAACCAUAGUUCGCUUUGGAAACUGUCAAACUUGAGUGCAGAAGGGGAGAGUGGAAUUCCAUGUGUAGCGGUGAAAUGCGUAGAUAUAUGGAGGAACACCGGUGGCGAAAGCGGCUCUCUGGUCUGUAACUGACGCUGAGGCUCGAAAGCGUGGGGAGCGAACAGGAUUAGAUACCCUGGUAGUCCACGCCGUAAACGAUGAGUGCUAGGUGUUGGAUCCUUUCCGGGAUUCAGUGCCGCAGCUAACGCAUUAAGCACUCCGCCUGGGGAGUACGACCGCAAGGUUGAAACUCAAAGGAAUUGACGGGGGCCCGCACAAGCGGUGGAGCAUGUGGUUUAAUUCGAAGCAACGCGAAGAACCUUACCAGGUCUUGACAUCCCGAUGCUAUUUCUAGAGAUAGAAAGUUACUUCGGUACAUCGGUGACAGGUGGUGCAUGGUUGUCGUCAGCUCGUGUCGUGAGAUGUUGGGUUAAGUCCCGCAACGAGCGCAACCCCUAUUGUUAGUUGCCAUCAUUCAGUUGGGCACUCUAGCGAGACUGCCGGUAAUAAACCGGAGGAAGGUGGGGAUGACGUCAAAUCAUCAUGCCCCUUAUGACCUGGGCUACACACGUGCUACAAUGGUUGGUACAACGAGUUGCGAGUCGGUGACGGCAAGCUAAUCUCUUAAAGCCAAUCUCAGUUCGGAUUGUAGGCUGCAACUCGCCUACAUGAAGUCGGAAUCGCUAGUAAUCGCGGAUCAGCACGCCGCGGUGAAUACGUUCCCGGGCCU